Molecule: ribosomal RNA, 909 nt
Filed under: uncultured archaeon
Lineage: Archaea
Description: bacterial SSU rRNA
Rfam family: Archaeal small subunit ribosomal RNA
Source: RNAcentral
CCCGACUGCUAUUUGGGUGAGAAUAAGCCAUGCGAGUUGAAUGGGAUGCCAAAAUUUCCCAUAGCAGACUGCUCAGUAACACAUGAUCAACUUACCCUAUAGAGAAAAAUAACCUCGGGAAACUGAGGAUAAUGUUUCAUAAUUGAAUAGGCUUGGAAAAGUUAUUCAACGAAAGGGAUAUAAAAAAUGGUUUAUAUCUGCUAUAGGAUAGGAUCGUGGUCGAUUAUGGUUGUUGGUGAGGUAAUGGCUCACCAAGCCGAUAAUCGAUAGGGGCCGUGAGAGCGGAAGCCCCGAGAUGGGUACUGAGACAACGACCCAGGCCUUACGAGGCGCAGCAGGCGCGGAACCUCCGCAAUACACGAAAGUGUGACGGGGUUACCCAAAGUGUUCUAUUAAGAACUGUGGUAGGUGGGUAAUGUCCCCUACUAGAAAGGAGAGGGCAAGGCUGGUGCCAGCCGCCGCGGUAAAACCAGCUCUUCAAGUGGUCGGGAUAAUUAUUGGGCUUAAAGUGUCCGUAGCCGGUUUAGUAAGUUCCUGGUAAAAUCGGGUAGCUUAACUAUCUGUAUGCUAGGAAUACUGCUAUACUAGAGGGCGGGAGAGGUCUGAGGUACUACAGGGGUAGGGGUGAAAUCUUAUAAUCCUUGUAGGACCACCAGUGGCGAAGGCGUCGGACUGGAACGUGCCUGACGGUGAGGGACGAAAGCCAGGGGAGCGAACCGGAUUAGAUACGUUGGUGCUAGUGAGAUAGAAGAAUAUCUAUUUAAAUGUUAUUAACACCACGCUAAACACCCGGGUAGUCCUGGCCGUAAACGAUGCAUACUAGGUGAUGGCACGGCUAUGAGCCGUGACAGUGCCGUAGGGAAACCGUUAAGUGUGCCGCCUGGGAAGUACGGUCGCAAGGCUAAAACU